AUUGAACGCUGGCGGAAUGCUUUACACAUGCAAGUCGAACGGUAGAGGGGGCAACCCCUUGAGAGUGGCGAACGGGUGAGUAAUAUAUCGGAACGUGCCCAGUCGUGGGGAUAACGUAGCGAAAGUUACGCUAAUACCGCAUACGAUCUAAGGAUGAAAGCGGGGGAUCGCAAGACCUCGCGCGAUUGGAGCGGCCGAUAUCAGAUUAGGUAGUUGGUGAGGUAAAGGCUCACCAAGCCAACGAUCUGUAGCUGGUCUGAGAGGACGACCAGCCACACUGGAACUGAGACACGGUCCAGACUCCUACGGAGGCAGCAGUGGGGAAUUUUGGACAAUGGACGCAAGUCUGAUCCAGCCAUUCCGCGUGCAGGA
Molecule: ribosomal RNA, 372 nt
Filed under: uncultured bacterium
Lineage: Bacteria
Description: bacterial SSU rRNA
Rfam family: Bacterial small subunit ribosomal RNA
Source: RNAcentral